RNAcentral lists this long non-coding RNA (1418 nucleotides) under Zea mays. RNAcentral describes it as "long non-coding RNA (ZMAY_LNC002938)". The record is from RNAcentral. Lineage: Eukaryota; Viridiplantae; Streptophyta; Magnoliopsida; Poales; Poaceae.
UUGACCCCAAGAUGGUGCAAGGAGUGGUCUUCUUCGCACGAUGAUGUCGUCAGUCGGAACAAAGGCUGAUCGUCAAGUGAUCGACGUCUAACAACACUAACCUAGUGUUAUCCAGGCAAGCCCCGGUGCAUAAAACCCCUUCCUUGUGUUUUUAAAUUAUUUUUACGCAGUAUAAGUCUAGUGAAUGUGCAUUAAGUUUAUAGGAGUUGCUUGAAAACCCUUUGAUGCAUUGGCUACCUUGAAAUCCAUCCCUUUUAUAGAUACUUCUAGUGAAGUAUCAAAAUAUGAUUCACAAAAAAAUGCUUAGCCCUGCUUAUAAGCAGAUAGAGUUUGUCCUUUGCUCUUAUGCCUAGCUCAGGUUUAUCCUGAGGAAGGAUGACUUCUACCUGCAAGAAUAUUUUCAUUGGGAGCAUGGUGGGAUCUUACUGCAAAGUUCCCUAUAAUGCUCUUUUCAUCCUAAGGAACACAAACACUCCUAAGGAUGGAAGUACUUAAAUUGAGACUUGGGAUAGGAACAGGUGAUGCUCCACCCAGAUUAAUUAAGGAUUGGAUGCGUAUGUAGGCAUGUAUGAUCAAGAACUAUCUUAACUAGUCACAUGCCCUGGAUAUGGGACAUGGUAAGCUUGAACCCAGCUAUUCCAUACGUGAAAAGACAAACACGCACUGGGCGUGGGAGAUGGUGGGAGUAGCGUGUACCCUCCUGGCUAGAGGCUGGACGGAGGAGUACUGUGCUCCCGGGUAGCGUGGACCGGUUCACGUUGUGGAGGAUCUGUGGGAAUGGUUGACAUAUGCAAGGGUUAAGUGCUACAUAUGUCGUGUGGUUAGAGAUCCUCAGCUGAGUAAAUCGAUUCAGAUCGCCGUUAUAUCCCCGGAGAGUGGAGACUUGAUCGUUGCCCUGCAACCUAAGUCAGGAUGUAAACAUUAUGAGUAAAAAUGAUGUUGUAUUGAUGAGAUGGUUAGACUAGGUGCAAACAGAGUCUAUUAAUAUUAAUCUGGCGUUAAAAUAUUGAAAGUAAGGACUCACUUUAGUAAGCUAUUUCUGCAAAAACAUCUAAGUUGAUUCUUGCUAAGAGCCUCUCCUUGAUUCCUAAAUCCAGCAUAUCCUUGAGAGUCUUUUUCCUUAGUCGGGUAAGACUUGCGAAAGUACACUUCAUACUCAGGGCUUUGUCCCAUGUUGUUUUAGGUGAAGAGCCUACGGAGCUUUGCUACUUUUGUGCAAAGGUGGUUCCCAAGCCGGAGGAAGAUCCAAAAAUAGAAGUGUGUUGAUGUGGAUGGUGCUAAGUGUCGAUGGGCUCGACCUUCUUAUAAGUCUAAGUACCUCUCCUAUACUUCUUAUUGAGGAUGGUCACUUAAGCUAGAUUAUAUUUCAAACUUACAAGUAAUUUAUAAUAUUUCAAAGUUUAUUUCUUUGAAUCACC